UUUGUUUCCAAAAUAAGAAUAUCGUUUAUUUGUUGAUCAACACUUGAAGGAAAAUUAAGUAAAAAAGAAUGGGAAGAAGAACCAAGAGCCUUGUGGAUAAACAAGCUUGUUCAAUAUACGGCCCUGCAUUAUUGAGUGACUGUGGAUUGCCUGAUUCGUCUUUUGGUUUCUUGACUUCCUUUGCCUUGGAUUUUCUAACUCCAGUGUUAAUUGGUGGUGUUUUUUUCUGUUUGAGUUUUAAACAAUUUUCUACCAAUCACUUCAGAUACACAAUAAUCACUGAGAUAGCAAAGAGAGAAAUGCGUGUUAACAUGAUGAGAACAACCUGAAGUAAGGUGGGCACCCUUGCUUUUAGCGGUCCCGGUGGCCCACUGUCAACACUUCCUCCAUACCCUACCUCCUCACAGAAAGGAGGGGCCCAGCCAUACAAGCAGUGGCAGUUUUUUUUAUUGUUGCAAAUGCCCCGGUGGUUGCACUUCUCAGGCAAACAGUCAAACUGCAGCAAUGAGCUAUCCACACAGGUUCUGUUAACACAUAUCCGAUUCGUACCACAGGAGGUACCAUCAUUUACCACACCAAUGUCAGGUAUCCCCAAGGGUACCUUGGAUAGAUGAUAGCCUGUGCCCCAGCACAUGAGGUUUUCCUCUCCCAAAUGAGUAGAAAUGAUAGUAGUAUGUUCUGGCAUUUCAGGGAUGGUUUUGACAUUGAUACACUGUAGCCUGCCACAUACUGCAUUUUCCCUAGUACACUUUUGAUAGUCACCAAUUCCUCUAAUACCACAGUUCCCAUGUUGAUCACCAAUUAAAUUAACUGCAUCAUAGCACUUACUGGGAGCCUCCCUGGCAUCAGGUCCAAAAAGCCUUUGGCACUGCAUAUAUCUGGAUUGGCACCCCUUUCUGAAACAACGGGCUUCGUACUUGCAAGGGGUUCCAUCCUGCUUAUAAGUGUCACUUGGGCAGAGACCUGAGGUCCCAGUGCAGUACUCUGCAAGGUCACAUUCAUUUUCUUCCUUCCGACACACAUACCCAGAGGGACGAAAGUGACACUUAUGACAGCAAAGUCCCAUGCUACAAUUGACACCAUGUUUCAAUUUACAAUCUGGUUGACAACACUGGUCUUUUUUACAGUCCUCUCUUGAACCACAAUCACAUUCCUCAUUCUCUUCCACAAUUUUGUUUCCACAUCUCUGAACCACAUAGCCUACUUCUGGGAUGUCAGUUAGACACGCUCCUGCUGAGUGUAUGAAAGCAAUAUAAUAGGAAUAACUACAAUUACUAAACCCAGUUCGCCCAGUGCCCAUGAUGCAACUACGCCUGCCCUUACAUUGACAGUAUUCAUAAUCAUGGGACAUUCCCACACCAUGGCCAAGGCAAUGAGCACUCCAGGUGGCAGGUCCAAGGACAUUUAUAUCUGGAAAGACACUUAUAGCUCCACUGUAUGUCUGACUACACACUCUUCCAAAGGACUGUCCAAGGUAAUCGACAUAUUGUCCUUUAAGGUAUAGGUGUGCCCAAUCUGCCGGGAUCCGGGCAUUUAGGGUCCUGCGUCUGUACAGCAAAAAUUGGCUUAAAACCUGCUGUGUCGUUGGAGAAUCAACCUUCAUUUUGUUUGCAUCUGUCCAAACUUCAAUACCUCUCAGAUGUAUUCUCAUAUUGAUAUCUUGGAAGUAAGUGUCCAUAAUCCCAGUCAUAAGAAUGGCAUCAUUUAUGACUCGAGUAAGAUUGGAAUUGGAGUACAAAUAUCUACGAUGAUCAAAGACCAGGGCUAAUUCAAGGUACUUUUUGUGUUUAUAGGAGUCAGAAAAGUCCCUAAGCCGAGCCACAUUCUCAUGCUGGGCCAUCUGCCGUUUUAUUUCAUCAUCAAGUAAGCCACAGGACUGAUUGUGAAAUUCCUCUUCUUUCUUCAGAAGAUAUAUGACAUGUUCAAAACUGGAAGAGGCCUUGAGGGGCUCGAUUUGGUAAUGUUUGGCAUCAAUUUUCAAUAUGCCUUGGAGACCCCCCAGGCAUGUACUUAGGGUAGCUUCAGAAUCCCGGGUUCCUUCAAUGAAACCCAUAUAGUUGCAGUCCCCCGGUAUGUAAGGGUAAUCCUCCAGGAGAUCGCCCUCUUCUGUGAAGGAGAAAACCUGCAGAUUUCGGGACAAUAGUAACCUCUUGGGCCACAGGUGGAGGACAUGCUCCUUGCCUUUUACCUGCAGGAGGUAGGACACGUGCUUGGCCACAGCCUCCUCCCCUCCCCGUGAACUCAGCUUCUUGGGGAUGAUGAUUUCAUACGAGUCAAACCCCCACUCAGGGUGAAAAAUUAAAUCCUCGCCGAGAGAGUCAACCAGGAGCAGCCCCAGGACUAGGAUCAGGAUGGAGAGCGAACGGCCUUGGGAGAGUAAGGUCCUCACUGACCUCAUGGCGCAGCUCCGUCCUUUAGGGAGUCAGUCCCUGCCGCUGCGGCCUUGCGAGUCAGACUUCCAGGGGCCGCCACUAGAGGCGCCGGAGCGCAAAGUGCGGAGCUCCCAGAGCAGGGCGGGCGGGAGCUCCAGCCUCCCGGGCUCGGCCCAGCUGACAUUUCCCGGAACCAUACCUAGACCGUUUUCUGGGCGGCGCCGUUGGGCGCACGUGGAAGAAACGAGGGAAACGUGCGCGCGAAUAAAAGAGAAAAGAGAGGCUAUUGGCACGAGGGAUGGAAAAGGGCAGAGAGCGGCUGGGAAAAGCAGGCAUAGGGAAUAGGAAGAACAGAGAACCUGUUGAAGGCUCACUAUGCCUGUGCCGUUUAGUCUUGUUUCUGUGGCCCGAGUGCAUACCUGAUGUUUUCCAUCGGUUGGAAUGGGAUGUUUUAUGGGCCACUGUGCCCACCUCACCACUCCGUUGCCAGUUUUCCCCUGGGCUCGCCUGAGGCGGAGGGAAGGAGCGCCACGGAGCCGGCAAGAGCAGCAGCAGAGCUGAGAACAUCAGUGCAGAGUCUACAUUCCAGCCCCGUCUCGGGCAGCGCCUGAAUUCAGGCGAGAGAAAGGUUCCGGGGGGCGGGGGGGGGGCUCUUUGUGCCGUGCGUCCUUAGGUGCCAGGGAUCAGCGUGAUUUGUGGGGGUGUGUGUACAGUGGCGGGGAAAUCUAGGAAGAGAAAAGUACCUCGGAAAACGGCAAAACCCGGGAGGUUCCAGAGAAAGAUAAUCAUAACCCUAUUAUUAUCAUCCGUAUGUUACACACGAGGAAGCUGAAACAAUACUUUGGCUCAGAUGGUGAUGCGAGGUUGAAGAUAUUUUGCUAUAAUUAUCCUGGACAACACAAGAAUCACAGACCUUAUGAGGAGAAAGAGGCGAAUAAACAGAAACAACAGUGUGUGUGCUUUCUCGGACAGGUGUUGUUUGCUCUCUCCUGAAGGCCCAUUCUCAAUGCUUCCUCCAAACCACUCCUCCUCACAGAAAGGAGGGGCCAACCUCACAAACAUUGGCAGUUUUUUCUAUUAUUGCUAACAUCUCAGUAGUUGCAAAUCUCAGGCCAACAGUCACAUUUUAGGGUUGUGAUUUUGACAUAUUCUCUGUCAAUACAUACCAGGUCCUCACCGCAGGAAGUGCCAUCCCUCACGAUGCCCAAAUCUGGUAAUCCACAGGCUAUCAAAGAUGCAUGAUACUCUGUGCACAGGAGAUUUUCCUUCUGCAGAUGAGUGGAAGGUAGAGUAAUAUGAUCAAGCAUGUUAGGGAUGGCCUUGACACUGAUACACGGCGUCCUUCCACAUGAUGUAUGUUCAGUUUACAUGUUAUAUAACCACGACCCUAGAUUCCACAGUUUCCAGAUCCAUCAUCCCGUAAAGUCACUGCAUUGUAUCAUUGACAUGGCCCAUCUAUGGCUUCUUCUCCAAAUAUAUUUUUACACUAUAGGUAAUGAAUGUAGCAUUCCUUUUUGUAACAAAGGCAACCACCUUUGCAAGGAGUUUCAUCUUACUCAUAAGGAUCAUCUGGGCAGAGGCUUGAAUUCCCAUUGCAGGACUCUGCAAGUUUGCGUCCAUUUUCUUUCCGCUCUACUACUAAAUUGGAGGCGGGAAGGCCUGUAGGGGGAGCUCUCACACCCUAUCAUACAAUGUCAAUUAUGCCGAACAAUAAGGGAACGUACGCUUGCAUCUCAGACAGGAAGGUGUUUACUGCUUUCCUACAAAGCAGAAGGUAGAUUUCUCUCCCUGCCUGGCAACAGCCCAGCCAAUGAGAGACUGUGGCAACCCAAACAAUGAGAAGCCUUUACACUUUGGACUCCCAGUUUUCUCCAAUGGAUUGUUUGUUUAUUACAGCCCCUCCCUUCUCCCCCUUUUCCUCUAUACUAGAAGCAAACCCCUUUCUUUGUUUCUCUGGAUCUGAUUAUCAUGGGUGUAGCCUGUGUAUGUGGAAUUACAAUUCCUCUGGCUAUUCCCAAAUAAACUCAUUCUGCA
RNAcentral lists this long non-coding RNA (4406 nucleotides) under Equus caballus (horse). Its description in RNAcentral is "ADAM metallopeptidase domain 30 (ENSECAG00000036103.2)". Lineage: Eukaryota; Metazoa; Chordata; Mammalia; Perissodactyla; Equidae. The record is from RNAcentral.